UACUGAAACUACGAUUUCCUCCCAUGCCACAAAAAAUCAUCCCCGCGCUCUCACUGCUUCUCGAUGUUUGCUCGGUGCUUCUCACCCACCAGCACCACCCCCAACAAAACCAUUGUUUCUUCUCCACCACCCCCCAACUAAACCCUUGCUUUCUCGCUGCUUCCCUUUGUUGCUGAUGCUUUCCUUCAUUCUUGCUGCUCCCGCGUGCUACUCUUCUUCUCUAUCUUCUCUGCUCGGCCGGCCCACUCUUCAAUUGCUCUUCAAUUCGCAGUUAAACUCUCGCAAUUAUCUCCACUCCACCGGCGACGACCUCGACAAGAAGAACCACCAUUGGGCAAUUCUCUCCACUCGACCGGCAAUGACUUCAAUUGAGUUCAGUUUGGGGUUUUUCUUGGCCAUACAAUGAGAUCAACAUCAGAUAUUGCUCUGAGUCUGGUGGUGACUGCUUGGCCAAGUCAAGGAGAUUGGUGAAGGUAAAACUAUAAGCACGUAUAAGAGGGUCGUUGUUGCUGAUGGAAAAGAAUGUACGCAACCAGCUUACAAGAAUGCUCUGUCAGUGGAGAAUAUUACAAUGUCUGCUUCAAAGACCGGUCUUGAAAGUGGAUAAAGGCUCAGGGCAAUUCAAGUGUUGAAGAUAAAUAGAUUUUGCAGCGCGUAAAAGAAGAAAGAGAUUUAGCUGUUCGAAAAACAAAGCAACUCCAACAGGAACUGGAAAUGUGGAAGAGACGUAGACAGCGCAAAAGUAACUCUGGCUUCUCGUGCAAAUUUUCUAUUUUUGUGGCAAUGAUAGGAAUCAUGCUCGGCAUCCUGUUAAAACUAUCUGUGUCUUCUUCACCUACUACAGCAUAGUUGUCUUCAUCAGUUCAGGAAACAACUCUUCUUUGUAUCACGAGCUAGCUACGUUUUACCUGAGUCUUCCCUUUCCCAUCUUCUUCUCUAGGGGCAGUCCUUACUGUAUAUUUUUCAUCAAAAUUUGUUUUCAUUAUACUCUUUUUUACCCCCAUGAAUUGGAAAUAUAUUUAAUCUGCAAUUUCAUGUGUUAGACCGUUAAUUCACGAAAUUAGUUGUUAUAAUUUAUUUCUGAAACCGAUAAGACUUGAGCAGAAUUUUGAGAGUUGCUAGAUCUGCUGCUGCUGUUGACUGCUUUCUGCUGCUGUAGUUCAACAGGCUGACUGCAAUCUCCGGUCCUUAAUUUGCUGCUUAGGACAAGGAUACUGUGUUGAGGCGACUGAUUCCAGGAAGUCAGGGAGGGGACUCUGCAGUUACAAUUUGAUGUGUGGUUUUCUGCUGCUAGUGCUUUGUGGCAGUGUGAUUGGACUGGUUUUUUUGGCUUGAGUUUGUUCUGUCAGCAGCUGGUGGAUGGGUUGUGGUUCUGCAGCUGCUGUUUUAUAGUCAACUGACCUAAGUUCACUUCCUGGGGUUUGAUUUGGGGCAGUGUUGUAGCUGGUGGAUGAAAUUGCAGCUUAGGUUUAUUUUCUCUUAAGUUUCGUAUCUGUGAAAAUUCCUAACUUGCAUGGAACGAAGCAAUCAGUACACUUCGAAUCUUGGAAAAGACAAAUGGUCACGCCUUCUCCUCUCCACCCUUUUUGUUGACAGAGAACUACAUCUAUGGCAUAUUAGUUGUUUUUAGAAAUGCCAAUAUGAUCAUGUCCUUUAUAUUUCAACAUAUCUGGCAGGUCAAAGCUAUUGCAGAAGAAAUGGGGAUUGGAUUGCUACGUGUGAGAGCAAUCAAAGGGAACACCAACAUAGCACGAGCUGAGAUGGGGUCGAGUUCUCGGGACAGUGACAAGAUCCUUCACUAGGUGCAAUUGGCUAUGCAGAUAGGCUGGCAUUCGCACUAGAUAAAUGCUGAAAGGGAUUUGAGAAUACCGAUUCUAGCCUUUCAGUUUUAGCAGGGGAAUUGAAGAAGUUAAGGUUUUGGUAGCUGUACAGAUUCGUCUACUGUUACAUUUUCGUAUUGCUAUAGAAAAUUUCAUAGUGUUGUUGGCCAAAUGGUCUCUGAUAUUCUUGAUUCUAUUUGUUAUAUAUAGCUAAGACGACUUCCCUUUAAAAACCAAAAUCAAAGGCUUACAACUCUUUAUGCUUGAGCAUUCUGUUUCAGGUGAUGCUAAUCUGUGGGACGACAGUGAUGGGAUAUAUGCAGAUGGUCAACUAUGGCUUGAAGAUCACCAUAUAAUCGGAAGAGUGAUUGGGUUUUCAAAACUCCAAGGGAGGGGCCCUUUACCAAAAAGGAGUUGGAUGAAGUUCGAGACAAGUGGGCUACUUAAUUCAACGAUUGUGAACUACCCUCAGUGUAAUAAAUAGAGAAGGUUUGUAGUUAUUCGUGACUCUUACAUUAUUUUGUUAUUUAUCGAUUUAAUUAAUUACAUUUGAAUUAAUUCGGUAAUAUUAUUGGAAAUUUAAAAUUUAUA
This is a long non-coding RNA of Spinacia oleracea (spinach), 2411 nucleotides long. RefSeq lists it as uncharacterized. The record is from RefSeq and is a predicted model, not a curated record. The transcript is spliced from 6 exons. Lineage: Eukaryota; Viridiplantae; Streptophyta; Magnoliopsida; Caryophyllales; Amaranthaceae.